UUGGAGGGCAAGUCUGGUGCCAGCAGCCGCGGUAAUUCCAGCUCCAAUAGCGUAUAUUAAAGUUGUUGCAGUUAAAAAGCUCGUAGUUGAAUUUCGGGAUCAGUACGUUGGUCGUGCCUUAGGUACGUACUGGUGUUACUGGUUCCUACCUUCUGACGAACCAUCAUGUCAUUAAUUUGGUGUGGCGGGGAAUCAGGACUGUUACUUUGAAAAAAUUAGAGUGUUUAAAGCAGGCUCGCGCUUGAAUACAUUAGCAUGGAAUAAUGAAAUAGGACGUUGAUCCUAUUUUGUUGGUUUCUAGGAUUGACGUAAUGAUUAAUAGGGAUAGUUGGGGGCAUUAGUAUUCAAUUGUCAGAGGUGAAAUUCUUGGAUUUAUUGAAGACUAGCUACUGCGAAAGCAUUUGCCAAGGAUGUUUUCAUUAAUCAAGAACGAAAGUUAGGGGAUCGAAGACGAUCAGAUACCGUCGUAGUCUUAACCAUAAACUAUGCCGACUAGGGAUCGGAUGAUGUUAUUUUUAAUGACUCAUUCGGCGCCUUACGGGAAAC
RNAcentral lists this ribosomal RNA (546 nucleotides) under uncultured Glomeromycotina. RNAcentral's name for it is "SSU rRNA". It matches the Rfam family "Eukaryotic small subunit ribosomal RNA", at positions 548 to 1098 of the family's 1831-position model. The record is from RNAcentral. Lineage: Eukaryota; Fungi; Glomeromycota.